AGCAGCCGCGGUAAUUCCAGCUCCAAUAGCGUAUAUUAAAGUUGUUGCAGUUAAAAAGCUCGUAGUUGAAUUUCGGGAUCAGUACGUUGGUCGUGCCUUUGGUAUGUACUGAUGUUACUGGUUCCUCUCUUCUGAUGAACCGUCAUGUCAUUAAUUUGGUGUGGCGUGGAAUCAGGACUGUUACUUUGAAAAAAUUAGAGUGUUUAAAGCAGGCUCGCGCUUGAAUACAUUAGCAUGGAAUAAUGAAAUAGGACGUUUGAUUCUAUUUUGUUGGUUUU
RNAcentral lists this ribosomal RNA (278 nucleotides) under Glomeromycota sp. Its description in RNAcentral is "partial small subunit ribosomal RNA". It matches the Rfam family "Eukaryotic small subunit ribosomal RNA", at positions 569 to 852 of the family's 1831-position model. The record is from RNAcentral. Lineage: Eukaryota; Fungi; Glomeromycota.